AAUUAUUAGUACGGUCGUCGAUAGUAGUGCAUAUAGUACCUAAACAGACGCCAAAUAAAUACUCAACAAGCAGUUUGAUCAGAAGGCGUUUUCGUUUUACAGUAUUAACAAUAUGUCUUGGAAACAAAUACCGCCUUCGUCGUCUAAAUACCCACAACCAUCGUCUGGGCUCAAACCUAAAGAGCAGCCACCAAAAAUAUACGUGGAUAUGCGAAACGAUAGAUUCUCCGAGAACAAAAAAAUACUACGCGAUGGUCUCCCGACGGCGGAAAGGGUGAGAUCCAAUCAGCAAUUUGGAACCAAACAAAAAUUAAAAGAAAUAAACCCUUUAAACAAACCGUGAUUCAAAUUAAAAAAAUUUGUAAAUAGUAGUAGUACACGUGAAAAUAAUGUAAAUGUAUAUUAAAUAUUUUAAAUGUAACAACAGAAUAUAGUAAUAAGUUAAAAAAAAUUUAUAAAUUUAUCACAUCAUUCUUACCGAUUGUACGCCGUCACGUGAAAAAUAAAUUUACAAUGACAUUUUUUUUUUGUUUUUCUAUUGCAAAAUUCCUAUACGAACACAGAUAACAAUUACUUUUUAUUCAUUGUGAUGUUUUCAAAAUUAAUUAUUCCCAUUACGGACACCUCAGUGUUACUUAUACGGAUCAGAUUUGAUGAAGUGUA
Aphis gossypii (cotton aphid) is the source of this 663-nucleotide long non-coding RNA. RefSeq lists it as uncharacterized. The transcript has 3 exons. The record is from RefSeq and is a predicted model, not a curated record. Lineage: Eukaryota; Metazoa; Arthropoda; Insecta; Hemiptera; Aphididae.